GCCCGCUUAGCUCAGUGGUAGAGCGCGUCACUCGUAUGCCAGUGAUGAUGAGGUCGGUUGUUCAAUCCAGCCAGCGGGCA
Molecule: transfer RNA, 80 nt
Filed under: Serpula lacrymans var. lacrymans S7.3
Lineage: Eukaryota; Fungi; Basidiomycota; Agaricomycetes; Boletales; Serpulaceae
Rfam family: tRNA
About the family: Transfer RNA (tRNA) molecules are approximately 80 nucleotides in length. Their secondary structure includes four short double-helical elements and three loops (D, anti-codon, and T loops). Further hydrogen bonds mediate the characteristic L-shaped molecular structure. tRNAs have two regions of fundamental functional importance: the anti-codon, which is responsible for specific mRNA codon recognition, and the 3' end, to which the tRNAs corresponding amino acid is attached (by aminoacyl-tRNA synthetases). tRNAs cope with the degeneracy of the genetic code in two manners: having more than one tRNA (with a specific anti-codon) for a particular amino acid; and 'wobble' base-pairing, i.e. permitting non-standard base-pairing at the 3rd anti-codon position.
Source: Rfam by way of RNAcentral